UCUCUACGGAAUAACACAGAGAAAUUUGUGCUAAUACCGUAUACGUCCCUUUUGGGAGAAAGAUUUAUCGGAGAUGGAUGAGCCCGCGUUGGAUUAGCUAGUUGGUGAGGUAACGGCCCACCAAGGCGACGAUCCAUAGCUGGUCUGAGAGGAUGAUCAGCCACACUGGGACUGAGACACGGCCCAG
Molecule: ribosomal RNA, 187 nt
Filed under: uncultured bacterium
Lineage: Bacteria
Description: partial 16S ribosomal RNA
Rfam family: Bacterial small subunit ribosomal RNA
Source: RNAcentral